Non-coding RNA from Pogona vitticeps (central bearded dragon), 1258 nucleotides. The record is from RefSeq and is a predicted model, not a curated record. NCBI's taxonomy places the organism in Eukaryota, Metazoa, Chordata, Lepidosauria, Squamata, Agamidae.
GUAAUCCUUGUCAACCACAUCCAGCUGCUAUGUUGGCAGUGAUAGCCUGCUCUCACUAUUUAAGCAAGAGUGUGAGAACAGCACUUCGCCACUCAGUUGUUUGUUUUUCCUAACAGAGUCCUCUUGGAAGCCUUACUGUCCAAAUCUGACGCCAAGCUUCAGGAGAGACAAACAACACAUCAGGCCUUUAGAGUGGGCCCCACACCAACACCUUGUUCAUGCCACAAAGAGGAGGUUGAUUCUAUCUUCUUUUCACAAAAGAUAUAUCCUACUUGUAAUUGGCGUUGGAGCUCUGGAAGACACAGUUCCCAGCUUUCUGAUUUACUGUGAGGGCGACAAUGGCAGCUCUGCUUUAUUCCUUUAAAAUGGCUACCUGUUGCUGCAUGUAUUAACUUUCUGCUCUUGAUCCUUAUAUUUAAGACUCCUACUUCUCUACUUUAUUUGACUUGCCAGCCAGCCAGCCAAAAUAAUGCAGCAGAAGUGUGGCUGUUUCUUAACUAACCGUCAAAUCCAGUGACUUUUCCUCAAAGGAGCAUUUAUGUUUUAGACAAUUACACUCGCCCAGCAGUCAAACUGCAAUAAAGCCUUAUUUGGAAAAUGGGAUCCUCUCUCAAGGCAGAAGAGCCUUUGGCUGUAUCUACAUGCUCUAUGAAUGUGUAUAUACCAGGGAGUUAGUUCAGAGAUGGUAAGAUACUUGACAGUAUAAGAGAAAAUGUGCCCUUUCACAUUCUCUCCACCCACCCAUGCACCAAGCUGGGUAAAAAGGUCAUCAAUACCACCAACAUCCACUGAUAAAAUUACAAUCUGUGUGGGUCAUGUUCUCUUCCAUUAUUUUUUCGCCCAUUUCUACCACUCCUUGUUGAGCCUACAGGAUAGAAUAGUGGUGGUCACAUUAUGGACAUUACUUCAGCAACACCUCUUUCUGUCCACAAUUUAUGUCCACAUGUAGUUGAACAGGCAAUACCAGGUGUGAGAAGCUGUGUGCUGGCUUGGACCAUUAGAUAUUUGCCCAGUUCGUUCCUUUAAAAUGUUACAACAUUGUUUUGCAUAUUAAAUGUAUAUGUUCCGUUGCAUCAUAUUGACCACCAGCUUCUCUGGGAAGAGGUACAAAUGCAGACCAGAAGUAGAGCUGAGGCAUUUUUGUUGGAAACAGAAAAGAAGGAAAGGGGAAAAAAGAUAUAUGAGAUAUGAUGAUGUUGGUCAUGAUCACAUCCAAUUGCACUUCUCACUUGUUGUUGAAUACUGAACAAGAUGCAAU